This 923-nucleotide long non-coding RNA is filed under the name Lonchura striata (white-rumped munia). RNAcentral describes it as "domestica (Bengalese finch) lncRNA (ENSLSDG00000004257.1)". The record is from RNAcentral. Lineage: Eukaryota; Metazoa; Chordata; Aves; Passeriformes; Estrildidae.
AAUGCCACCAGGAUGAAAGGCUGCAAGCAAGCCCUGGGUGUCCUGUGGCAGAGGCAGCAGACGGGGUUCCGGACCCUUUCCCCUUUGGAUGAGAAGCACAAGACCUUGGCAAACCAGGCUCCAUCAUCCCCCUCUCCAGCCAGCAAGGGAGACUUUGUUCCUUCAGGAGAAGGAGAGGCAGAGGCUGGAGAACCUCCGUAAGAAGCAGGAGGCUGAGGAACAGAGGAAGAAGAAAGUGGAGGAGGAGAAGAGACAGCGUCAGGCAGAAAUGAAGCAGUGAGUUGGGCCCCUUUCCCCCUCCUCUUUCCUUGGUCAGGAAAGGCUUGCCUUGUGCUUCCCACUUGGAAUGAGCACUUUGGGAGCAGGCGGGGCUGACGGGCCCCUCUUGCCCACGCGGUGCCCAGAAAGAGGGAAGAGCGCCUGAGGAAGGCCCUGCAGGCUCGAGAGCGUGCGGAACAGAUGGAGGAAAAGAAGAAAAAGCGGAUGGAGCAGAAGAUUCUGCAAAGUGAUGAGAAGUUGCACAUCUCACAGGUGAAGGAAGAGAAGGUGGCAGAGGAGCGGAGCAAGAGGAAAGGGUCCAAGAAACACGGGGAGGUGGAGGCACGGAAGCAGAAAGCCGUGAAAGGGGAGGAACAUGAGCAGCAAGAACCACUGCAGAAAAGAAGAGAGGAUGAAGUGAAGGAAAGAGGGAAAACAGUUUUGGAACUGAAGAACCUUCUGGAGCAGAAACAGCUGGGACAAGCAAAGGAGAGGUGUGAGCUGAUGCCUGUCCUGGAGCAGGGAAUUGACCACAGCUGGGGAAGCAGUAGAUGUGAUGUAAAUGUGAUGCUGCACCUGGGAUCUGGGGAGGCAGGAGCAGGAGGCUGUGAGAGGGUGAGGGACAGAUAGGCCUGCUUCCCCCUCUGAAUUCUUUCUUUUCCCCC